CAAGACUAACCUCUACCUCACAUACCUGUCUCUUGCUCUCUCCUAAAGGGUAGCCCACCUUAUUUGACUGCAAGUUCCUGUCCUAAUGUGUUUUACACCCCAUCUCCUAAAGAAUGUAAGCUCAAUUGAGCAGGGUUCUCUUCAACCUAUUGUUCCCGUAAGUUUUUUGUAAUUGUUCUAUUUAUAGUUAAAUCCCCCUCUCAUAAUAUGGUAAAGUGCUACGGAAUCUGUUGGCGCUAUAUAAAUGAUAAUAAUAAUAAUAGCCUAUCUCUAAUAUAGAGAUCUGAGCUUAAAUUAUUUCCAUAAGUCUCCCAGUGGGAUAAGGUAAUAUUUUUUAUAUAUAUCGAAACCAUUUCAAUAGGGGAUGCAUAUGAG
Molecule: non-coding RNA, 375 nt
Organism: Pelobates cultripes (western spadefoot toad)
Lineage: Eukaryota; Metazoa; Chordata; Amphibia; Anura; Pelobatidae
Source: the annotation of a GenBank genome assembly